CUUGUGAUUUCAAUAGAGGUUUUACAUAAAAAGUUGGGGCUUCACACAAAUCGACCUCUCUAAUCCCUACUUCUCACUGCGCAUCAAGCUCGGCUUCACUCUCUGCGGACGUCCUCGACUUCAGUCUUGGUUCCAGCUCGAGUCAAUAUCAGGAUAAGCUUAAUUUCUUAUAAUGAAGAGAAAAGCAACAACAGCCCCUAACACCAAGAAUACUAUUACAAAAAAGGGGGGAAACACAAGUGCAAGUGCAUUCAUACCAUAGAAUGUGCCAAAUAUGAGUGAAUCAAUAGCAGCAACUCCCACUCCCACUCAUGAUCCCGCUCUUUCUCCUACUCAAUUUAUUUGGACUUUGGUGAAUUCAAUUUACUUUGAAGUUUAGACUUUGAAUUUGUGUUUUAUGGUGUAAAACUAUAAAUUGUGUAAUUUAAUUGAGAUUUUACUUUAGAACUUUGAAA
Molecule: long non-coding RNA, 455 nt
Organism: Argentina anserina (silverweed cinquefoil)
Lineage: Eukaryota; Viridiplantae; Streptophyta; Magnoliopsida; Rosales; Rosaceae
Exons: 3
Source: RefSeq, a predicted model, not a curated record